Molecule: long non-coding RNA, 1697 nt
Filed under: Olea europaea (common olive)
Lineage: Eukaryota; Viridiplantae; Streptophyta; Magnoliopsida; Lamiales; Oleaceae
Description: long non-coding RNA (OEUR_LNC010033)
Source: RNAcentral
AGGUAGAUCCUUACAAACAUUAGAAUGAAGUUAACGGCCAGUGUUCUCUCCCCACCCUUCUCUCCGUCUCGAAACUAAGAAAAGAACAAGCAGACUCUCUCCAUGAUUUGUAAAUUUCAAUACAAAGGCUAAAAAAGGGUCCUUUUAUAAUUUACAAUUAUAUAGUGCACUUGGAAGUCCUGAUUAUCUGAUUAUAAAUGGAAGGCGAUAUUUUUGUACUUUUCAAACAAAACAUGUUUUGUGAAAAAUUAAAAUAUGAAGUCACUUCUUAUCUUCAUUUUAAUUAUCAGUAAAACAUAAAGAUGCAAUUCAGACCACCUAAAGUAAAGCCCUACUUCAAAAUAACAAUUUCCUACGCAUGUCACUCAGACCCAUAAAGUUUCAAAUUCAGUGGAAGUUCAGCACACUUGGGAGCUAUAAUCAACAGUUAACACCAAGCAAAUGUACUGUUAAAUCUUAUGCACUUAACAAAAACAGAUAUACUAAAGUAUUUCUAGUUCUUUCAGGAAAACAAAGUUUCAUUGUCAGCUAAAAAAGGGCAUGGCGCAAUUAAGAAACAAGAAAUAAAUUUGAAUGGUGAUAUUUUUUCCUAAAAGGGUAUAUCGAAAAAGCUAAUUGAACAAAAACUUGGAUCUUUACCCAACAAAAAACUCUGUUUUUGAAUUUCGUAAAGCAUCUAAUGGAUUUGAGUAUGUCCCUACAUAUGUUUGGGUUUACAAAAGAAAGCAAAAGAAGGUUAUUAAAACUAUGAUCCCCCUCUGAUCCCAAGGAAAUGAAAAAAGAGCAGGAAAUUCAAAAGCAACUUUCUUGAGGUUGUUGUUCCUUUGGUGAUUGGUGGAUUAACCAAUAAAAAAUAAUGAAUAGAAUCAAAACGUUUAGCUUCACUUAUUGGCCUGCUACAAAUGAAGGCGGUGUUUGUUCAUAUAAUUAAUGUUUCACAAAUUAAUAAUAUCUACAGACUACCAUUAUAAACUUUCAAGAAUAACUUGGUUUCUGCUAUCAAAGUUAAUUUCUUUCAAUUCGUGUAGUUGUUCUACUACCUACAUUUUUCUGUGUUUACACAACCUCCAAAGUUUUAAUCUGAACCCAUGGAGACAACCUACGCCCCAAACUAAAAAAUAAAAAUAAAAAUCUCUUGCCAUAAUGUCAUUACAAGCAUAGAGUAAACCUCAUUAUCAAUGUUCAUUGCACUAUUCGUUUGGUAAUUUACACCUCAUGUCUACAACAUGUUGAAGACUACCGCAAGACAAUCACAACAGAAUAUUAAUUCGAUUUCAGCAGCACAUAAGUGAAUUGAGGUACAUUUGGAAUUAUCAGCAUAAAUUUUCGAGCAAGAGUACUUUGGGAAAAUCUAACAAACAUAAUUACAGAAUCACUAAUACAAAAAACAAGCCAAAAUUUGAAGCAUCAAACCCUAGUCCUGAUUGGUCGUAAAAAACACAAAGAUAUGCAGACAUACUCACACGAGAAGAGGAAAAAAAACAUGGAGAGAGGAUCUGGUGAGUACCCGAAAUAGUUGUACAAAAGCCAAAAGAGAAAGAGUGGAAAUUAGAACUGUAGACAUCCGAUCUACGGAUUUUCUUGAGUUUUGGGGCAGAGGUGGGUGCUUGGGAGAAAAACUGGGAGCAGCAGUGAAAGGAGGGAAAAAAGGAAAACAUAGCCUCCAUUUGGCAUCAGCUGCCAUUCUUAUUCUCUCU